AUUGAACGCUGGCGGCAUGCUUUACACAUGCAAGUCGAACGGCAGCACGGGUGCUUGCACCUGGUGGCGAGUGGCGAACGGGUGAGUAAUGCAUCGGAACGUGCCCAUGAGUGGGGGAUAGCCCGGCGAAAGCCGGAUUAAUACCGCAUACGCCCUUAGGGGGAAAGCGGGGGAUCUUCGGACCUCGCGCUAUUGGAGCGGCCGAUGUCGGAUUAGCUAGUAGGUGAGGUAAAGGCUCACCUAGGCGACGAUCCGUAGCUGGUCUGAGAGGAUGAUCAGCCACACUGGGACUGAGACACGGCCCAGACUCCUACGGGAGGCAGCAGUGGGGAAUUUUGGACAAUGGGCGCAAGCCUGAUCCAGCCAUGCCGCGUGAGUGAAGAAGGCCUCGGGUUGUAAGACUCUUUCUAGGUGGAAAGAAUAAGACGCUGUUUAAU
This 437-nucleotide ribosomal RNA is filed under the name uncultured bacterium. RNAcentral's name for it is "bacterial SSU rRNA". It matches the Rfam family "Bacterial small subunit ribosomal RNA", at positions 30 to 465 of the family's 1533-position model. The record is from RNAcentral.